Molecule: ribosomal RNA, 495 nt
Filed under: uncultured bacterium
Lineage: Bacteria
Description: partial 16S ribosomal RNA
Rfam family: Bacterial small subunit ribosomal RNA
Source: RNAcentral
GACGAACGCUGGCGGCGUGCCUAAUACAUGCAAGUAGAACGCUGAAGGAGGAGCUUGCUUCUCUGGAUGAGUUGCGAACGGGUGAGUAACGCGUAGGUAACCUGCCUGGUAGCGUGGGAUAACUAUUGGAAACGAUAGCUAAUACCGCAUAAUAUUGACUAUUGCAUGAUAGUCAGUUGAAAGGUGCAACUGCACCACUACCAGAUGGACCUGCGUUGUAUUAGCUAGUUGGUGGGGUAACGGCUCACCAAGGCGACGAUACAUAGCCGACCUGAGAGGGUGAUCGGCCACACUGGGACUGAGACACGGCCCAGACUCCUUCGGGAGGCAGCAGUAGGGAAUCUUCGGCAAUGGACGGAAGUCUGACCGAGCAACGCCGCGUGAGUGAAGAAGGUUUUCGGAUCGUAAAGCUCUGUUGUAAGAGAAGAACGAGUGUGAGAGUGGAAAGCUCACACUGUGACGGUAUCUUACCAGAAAGGGACGGCUAACUACGUG